This 468-nucleotide ribosomal RNA is filed under the name uncultured bacterium. Its description in RNAcentral is "partial 16S ribosomal RNA". It matches the Rfam family "Bacterial small subunit ribosomal RNA", at positions 28 to 507 of the family's 1533-position model. The record is from RNAcentral.
GACGAACGCUGGCGGCGUGCUUAACACAUGCAAGUCGAACGGAAAGGCCCUGCUUUUGUGGGGUGCUCGAGUGGCGAACGGGUGAGUAACACGUGAGUAACCUGCCCUUGACUUUGGUAUAACUUCAGGAAACUUGGGCUAAUACCGGAUAGGAGCUCCUGCUGCAUGGUGGGGGUUGGAAAGUUUCGGCGGUUGGGGAUGGACUCGCGGCGUAUCAGCUUGUUGGUGGGGUAGUGGCUUACCAAGGCUUGGACGGGUAGCCGGGCUGGGCGGGUGACCGGACAAAUUGGGACUGAGAUAAGGCACAGACUACAACGGGAGGCAGGAGUGGGGAAUAGUGCACAAGGGGCGGAAGCCUGAUGCAGCAAAGCAGCGUGCGGGAUGACGGGCAUCGGGUUGUAAACCGCUGUCGCCUGUGACGAAGCGUGAGUGACGGUAAUGGGUAAAGAAGCACCGGCUAACUACGUG